RNAcentral lists this long non-coding RNA (4072 nucleotides) under Salmo salar (Atlantic salmon). RNAcentral describes it as "lncRNA (ENSSSAG00000090155.1, ENSSSAG00020066549.1)". The stretch from base 1448 to 1515 matches the Rfam family "mir-8/mir-141/mir-200 microRNA precursor family". Lineage: Eukaryota; Metazoa; Chordata; Actinopteri; Salmoniformes; Salmonidae. The record is from RNAcentral.
CUCAGACUCUUUGCAUUAAGAGCUUGUCCAGGUAACAUCACCACCACUCCAGGGUCCCUCAACAAUGGACAUCACCUCUACCUCUGGUGUCUGCCUUUCUGCCUUCCUUUGACAUCUACUGAUUAACUGAUCUCCUGAAUCUCGGAGGACUCUCUGCGUUUUGAAUCUGACCCAGGCAUGCAAGAAAUCAUUCGUCCUUCAGCAAGAGGAGAGGGCCUCUAGUGCUGGUCUGUCUACUGAAAUGCUGCCCGGCUGAAGACUAGGAGGGAGCAGGGCAUGUCUGUGGGUUUUGCCUUUCAUGGGGUCUUGAAUGACCAGAGAGAGACUGGAUGUGGCUCUCUCUCAGGCUCCAGGGGGAAAUUUGAGAUAUUUCCCCUCUUUUCUCCCUCUACAACUCCUCACUUUUUUCUUUUUACAUUCUUCCUUUACUGCUCUAUUCACAAUGGUAAGAUUACAGGUGUUGCUGUUUGAUUUCCUUCUCAGUCCCCUCCCUUUUUACCCUCCUACAUACUCCCUCUCCCUCUUUUGUCCCACAUUUUUACCUGCUCCCACCGCCAUACAACCUUUCCCGCUCUCGCAACCCACUAAUCCCAUGACAUUUGCAUCAAGUGAUGUUUGCUUUGCUUGUUUCAGAGCAAAACCCUUUCUUUAAGCUUGUUCUGACAACAAUGGAGGCUAUAUAUUUUGAACAUGAAGAAAGAAUUUAAACAAGAUUUUAUUUGUAGACUACAAUGAAUUAAAUCAAAUCUCUACUACUGAAAGUAAUGUGGAUACCUUACUAAUAGCUAAUGUAAUCAGACAGUAUGUAUUUGGUGAAAUAACACAAGACCAAUUUUGAAAUGGUGCAGGAACAGUGUGAAUUGUGCACAGUGCAUACAGUUUGUACGUAGGAUGUUAUGUAAUGUAUAAUGUUUGCCAUGAAGUGUCAUUGAGGGCAUUCAAUGUUGGUGGCAGUUUGCCAAUGUGGCAAUGAUAAGGUGAUCUUGAGGCAUAUUAGUCGAGACAUGGGAGUAAUCAUCUUCUGAAAUUCCUGCCAUUGUGUUACUCUAGAAUACUACAUUACCUGCGUAAUACAGUAGCGUUUUGAUACCGCUGCGGCCUGACUUUGCGAGGGCCCAGUGGCCUACCAUACUUUGUUUUAGCUAACAGCGCAGGUGCAUAACUUCAAGGAAUCUUUGUAAAACCACAGCCUCUUAAAUUAUAGUUUAUGUUCUUGGAUCAUAAAAAAGCACAGUUGUGAUGUUUGGAUAAUUAUUAACAAUGACUUAGCCUACUGAUGUGGUUGCAAAAUUAUAGAAUAAAAACAUCAAAGAAAUCCGACAGGGUUUGGUAAACACAGCAGGUAGUGUCAGUGCUUUUCUGGAUCCACCUGUAUGGUAGCCUCCUCUAUUUACACUGUCCGCAUCUGUGCUGCUGUUGUAAAUGAAAUAUUGAUAUUUGGAUGGCCAUCUCCAUCUUACGAGGUAGUUUUGGAUGUUAUAACUCCCUCUAAUACUGCCUGGUAAUGAUGAUGAUGACCCUCUGCAGGCAUCAUAGACAAAAACACAUAACACAGAAACACAAUCCCACGUAGCACUGUAUUUUCUUAGCCCUUGAUCCUGGGUAGUAAUAUCUUAUGAGUUGCUGAUAGGUUUGAGUAGUAUUCUAAGGGUUGUGUAGACGUAGAUAUGCUCUGAGGUUGGAUAUAGUUAGUUAUGUGCUUUUGGUGACCUUCCCUUUCUUUGGCUUCCAAAGCACGUCUUACCUGACAGUGCUGGGCUGUACACAGGUGUUCUAACACUGUCUGGUAAUGAUGUCCCCUGAAAGCCCCUCAAACAACCACACCAUCUCAACAACCAAUAUAGGUGCAACGGCACUGUAGCAUACCUGAAGCAGGACGUGUUCACAGUUAGUUCGUUUUUUACUGUUUGGAAAUUGUUUUCAGUCAACUCUGUUUUAGAGAGACCCUCUGUCUGUUGGCAUUGCCAUUGUUCAGGUGUAGACUCUAAGUCACGUGAACUCCAGUUCAAAGUUCAGAACAUGAAAAGAUGGAGACUGUAGUAGGGUCGUUUUUUUUUAAAGGACUACAUAUGUGAAUAAGACGAUGAUGGAACAACUGGCUGAAGGAGGCAUCCAGAACAGGUGACACCAGACUUUAAAGGCUGACAGAGAUAGUCCCAUAGGAAAAGAGGAUGAGGUAAUAGUCCUAAACGUCGUCUGUGGUGAGCACCUACCGCCUAACCCCCCCAUUUGUGAAAAGUAGUUCCUCCCUGCUUCCUGCCCUUUGUGUAGAUUUUCCACCCCACCCAGUAGUUAAAGAAUAGCAGUGAAAUGACUGUUGCAGUAAGAGCCACUUCCUCUUCCCCUCCCCCAGUCGAAGCUGAAUCUGGGCCUUUGUUGGCUCGUGAUUGGUCCAGCGGCCCUACUGUACCUGCGUGCCAUAUUGUGCAGCUGACACCUGAGAUCUGUGUGAGAAAAAUAAACACAACAACCUCUAUGGCUCUCCUGCUCUCACUUUCUAUUUAUUUCUCUCUCUCCUCUUCUCCAGUGAAAGCCAGUGGCAUUAGCUGAAACUGAUUAUUGCAUUUAAACUAAAAUGAGAGGUUGAUUCAUUAUCGUUGAAGUUGUUUUUUUCAUUACUCUCAACCAGUUAUAACUCUCAACCUAUUGCCCUAUUCAACACCAUUAUGAUUGUCAAGGUAAAGUGAAGGUAUACAAGGAAACAGAGUUCUCAAACUGUGUGUUAUGUAACAAAAGGGUGGCUGUAAAAAUUGGGGAAUGCGGGCACAAAAGCAUUGUAAUGUCGUCAUUUAUUUGCAUGUCCCUUUAAAGUUCAAAUAAUUUAAAGAUUGUGUAAUAUUGCCUUAUGACAAACAAUCUGCUCCAGUUAUAAAUGUCUUACUAUAAUUGUAGAAAUUACUAUUACCUCCAAUACAUUUUUUAAAAACUUUUCACCACUGAUGUGUUGCUAUAAACUAUUCCAAUUCUCCAACUUAUUUCUGUCUUCUUUCUUCACAGCUUGUCUGUCAACAAGCUGCUGUAGCUACAAAGACCCUGGCUACUUUCCUCUGAUGCGCCUACCUAGACCUUAUAAUUGUUGUCUUACCAGACAAGUUUAGAUCUAGCUACUCUGUCUAAUACUGUCUGGUAAUGCCGUCCAUUACAAGGUGUCUCAUCGCUCUUCUUCUGUCAGUUUCUUGGACAAUCUGUACAAAUCAACUGGUAUCAGGUCAUGUGAUGUCUUUUUCCCUCAAUGAUGUUUUCCAUAACUGGCUUGUAAGGUUUAAUUGCAGGUCAAAUAAAAAUUGUGUUGAAUUAUGUCAUUGUAUGCAAUAUCCCUAGUCAAAAAAAUCCUAUAGGAUCCCCCCCAAAAAAAUAUCCAAUUGCAAUCCCAAAGAAAUUUCAAUCAGAUUUUGGAAGCUAUCCUAUAGGACUUUAUCCCAUGGUAUAGUGCCUAGUACCUAGGACAGAAUCCUAUAGGAGUCCAAUAGGACUGGUUCCAAAAUCUGAUAGGAUUUUCUUUUGGCUUCUAUUAUUGACUAGGGUAACUUGCUAUUUAAAAAAAAAAUUGUACAGGACAGAUGUAAGUACAGAUAUGGAGACAGAUAUAGAGAGGGGUAAAGUGGUUAAGGGCACAGACAGUCGGCCAAGCCAGGGCUCAAAUCCCCGUCUAGGAGGGGGCAUAUGUGGUCCGGAUUUGGGGGCUUAGACCGCUACACCAGACUCCAGCACACUGAUAAGAUUUUUCUAUUAGAUUCUUGUGUAUAUAAAAUCCUAUUCAAUAGAAUCCUAUAUUACUCCAAUAGGACUGGUUCCAAAAUCUGAUGGGAUUUUCAUAUUGGCCUCUAAUUAGAUCCUUGUAUUGGAAUCCUAUCGGAUUAAACACUAUACGCUAUGGUUAACUUAGCUGCUUAACACAUGGAGCACCCGUGGGCAGUGGACACGUCAACUAUAACAUCAUAAGCAACCAAUAUUGAACUGCCUCCUUUUCCACUUGAGAUGCCGACCCUAUAGUGGAGAACCGCCGGCAAUGUCGAGAUAGGGAAAAUGGGGAGGGAGCACCUUCUAAGGAUGGAGGGAGGGUAGAGGUGAC